UAGGGAAUCUUCGGCAAUGGACGAAAGUCUGACCGAGCAACGCCGCGUGAGUGAAGAAGGUUUUCGGAUCGUAAAACUCUGUUGUUAGAGAAGAACAAGGACGUUAGUAACUGAACGUCCCCUGACGGUAUCUAACCAGAAAGCCACGGCUAACUACGUGCCAGCAGCCGCGGUAAUACGUAGGUGGCAAGCGUUGUCCGGAUUUAUUGGGCGUAAAGCGCGCGCAGGCGGUUUCUUAAGUCUGAUGUGAAAGCCCACGGCUCAACCGGGGAGGGUCAUUGGAAACUGGGAGACUUAAGUGCAGACGAGGAGAGUGGAAUUCCAUGUGUAGCGGUGAAAUGCGUAGAUAUAUGGAGGAACACCAGUGGCGAAGGCGGCUCUCUGGUCUGUAACUGACGCUGAGGCUCGAAAGCGUGGGGAGCAAACAGG
Molecule: ribosomal RNA, 429 nt
Filed under: Gemmatimonadota bacterium
Lineage: Bacteria; Pseudomonadati; Gemmatimonadota
Description: Gemmatimonadetes bacterium partial 16S ribosomal RNA
Rfam family: Bacterial small subunit ribosomal RNA
Source: RNAcentral